This 460-nucleotide ribosomal RNA is filed under the name uncultured bacterium. RNAcentral's name for it is "partial 16S ribosomal RNA". It matches the Rfam family "Bacterial small subunit ribosomal RNA", at positions 338 to 795 of the family's 1533-position model. The record is from RNAcentral.
CCUACGGGCGGCUGCAGUGAGGAAUAUUGGUCAAUGGGCGCGAGCCUGAACCAGCCAAGUAGCGUGAAGGAUGACUGCCCUACGGGUUGUAAACUUCUUUUAUAAAGGAAUAAAGUGAGGCACGUGUGCCUUUUUGUAUGUACUUUAUGAAUAAGGAUCGGCUAACUCCGUGCCAGCAGCCGCGGUAAUACGGAGGAUCCGAGCGUUAUCCGGAUUUAUUGGGUUUAAAGGGAGCGUAGAUGGGUUGUUAAGUCAGUUGUGAAAGUUUGCGGCUCAACCGUAAAAUUGCAAUUGAAACUGGCGUUCUUGAGUAGGCGAGAAGUAUGCGGAAUGCGUGGUGUAGCGGUGAAAUGCGUAGAUAUCACGAAGAACUCCGAUUGCGAAGGCAGCAUACCGGAGCCCAACUGACGCUGAAGCACGAAAGCGUGGGUAUCGAACAGGAUUAGAUACCCCGGUAGUC